GAUGAACGCUGGCGGCGUGCCUAAUACAUGCGAGUAGAACGCUGAAGGAAGGAGCUUGCUCUUUCCGGAUGAGUUGCGAACGGGUGAGUAACGCGUAGGUAACCUGCCUGGUAGCGGGGGAUAACUAUUGGAAACGAUAGCUAAUACCGCAUAACAGUAGAUGUUGCAUGAUAUCUACUUAAAAGGUGCAAUUGCACCACUACCAGAUGGACCUGCGUUGUAUUAGCGAGUUGGUGAGGUAACGGCUCACCAAGGCGACGAUACAUAGCCGACCUGGGAGGGUGAACGGCCACACUGGGACUGGGACACGGCCCAGACUCCUACGGGGGGGAGCCGUAGGGAAACUUCGGCAAUGGACGGAAGUCUGACCGAGGAACGCCGCGGGAGUGAAGAAGGUUUUCGGAUCGUAAAGCUCUGUUGUAAGAGAAGAACGAGUGUGAGAGUGGAAAGUUCACACUGUGACGGUAUCUUACCAGAAAGGGACGGCUAACUACGUG
This 497-nucleotide ribosomal RNA is filed under the name uncultured bacterium. Its description in RNAcentral is "partial 16S ribosomal RNA". It matches the Rfam family "Bacterial small subunit ribosomal RNA", at positions 28 to 507 of the family's 1533-position model. The record is from RNAcentral.